CACUGCUAUCGGGGUUCGAUUAAGCCAUGCGAGUCGAGAGGGUUCAGACCCUCGGCGCACUGCUCAGUAACACGUGGAUAACCUACCCUGAGGAGGGGGAUAACCCCGGGAAACUGGGGAUAAUACCUCAUAGGUUUCAGAUGCUGGAAUGCUCUGAAACCGAAAUGCUCCGGCGCCUCAGGAUGGAUCUGCGGCCGAUUAGGUUGUUGUUGGGGUAACGGCCCAACAAGCCCGUCAUCGGUACGGGUUGUGAGAGCAAGAGCCCGGAGAUGGAUUCUGAGACACCAAUCCAGGCCCUACGGGGCGCAGCAGGCGCGAAACCUUUACAAUGCGAGCAAUCGUGAUAAGGGAACCCCGAGUGCCUGAAACCAGGCUGUUCAGGUGUUUAAAAAGCACCUGGAGAAAGGGCCGGGCAAGACCGGUGCCAGCCGCCGCGGUAAUACCGGCGGCUCGAGUGGUGGCCGCUAUUAUUGGGCUUAAAGCGUUCGUAGCUGGGUUGUUAAGUCUCUUGGGAAAUCUCACGGUUCAACCGUGAGGCGACUAAGAGAUACUGGCAAUCUUGGGACCGGGAGAGGUGAGAGGUACUCC
RNAcentral lists this ribosomal RNA (588 nucleotides) under uncultured archaeon. Its description in RNAcentral is "bacterial SSU rRNA". It matches the Rfam family "Archaeal small subunit ribosomal RNA", at positions 25 to 621 of the family's 1478-position model. The record is from RNAcentral.